AGAAAGAAAGGAAAAAAGAAAAAGAAAAAAGAAAAGAAGAAAGAAAGAGGAAAGAAGAAGAUAUCCCGAAGUGUUCUUUUUCAUUUUUUUUUCAUUUUUAUUUAUUAUUUUUUGAAAAUAAAACAAUCUUUUUGUUUUAAAAA
Molecule: non-coding RNA, 143 nt
Filed under: Paramoeba aestuarina
Lineage: Eukaryota; Discosea; Flabellinia; Dactylopodida; Paramoebidae
Source: RNAcentral